Long non-coding RNA from Drosophila nasuta, 1019 nucleotides. RefSeq lists it as uncharacterized. The record is from RefSeq and is a predicted model, not a curated record. Lineage: Eukaryota; Metazoa; Arthropoda; Insecta; Diptera; Drosophilidae. The transcript has 3 exons.
UCAAUGUCAUCUUUAGUCGAAGAAAACAAACAAGAAAUUUAUAAACAAUACGAGGCACCCUGCACAUUCCCAUUUGGCCUCUCACAAUAUCUUUGCCAAAAUUUGAAAGCGUCGCAAGCGCCACAAGGCAACACAAGGCAUAUCUUGUCGACUUCCAUGAUAAACAGUUUGUGAAAUAAGUUUUCUUUUAUAUUAACUAACUUAUAAUGAUUAUCUAAAAUUUCAUAUCAAGCUGAGCUGCUAAAGAAAAUUCAAUUGAUCAGAUUGGGUCUCCUAAUAAUUAAUUUGGACAAGGUAUCAAAAAAGAGGAAGCAGAAUCUCUUUCUUCAGAUGAAUGAAUAUUUGAACCUUUCAAUUGUUUCUUAAAUAUUUGUUUUAAUUAUUCUAAACCAACACACCAUAAUUAAGAAACGCUGCUGAUAUUAAGCGCACAAGGGUAUGGAAAAUUUACGAAAAAUGGGCGUAAAAAGACUCAACUUUUGAAGGAUUUUGUCUCUGUUUGAUUAAAUCGAAGCAAAUUUAGAAGCUAUUUUAAAAACCAUUCCAACCAACCAUUUAAUAUUUCCAUUGUGGUAUUUUUUAGUUUCGUGAUGCUAACGUGUAAAAUUUUACUAUAUUCGGCGUUAGCUUUACGUUCUUUUGAAGGUUAUAUGUACGUACAUACGUAAGUAAAAUUAAAUGUACAUUCAACAUAUGAACAUGCAUACAUAAAUAAAUUGAAUGUCAUAUUAAAAAUUUCGAUGCCAACGUCGAUAAAAAGACGCUAGUGUUUUACUUUUAACAAUUUAUACUGUAUUGAUUCUAUAAUAUACACAUAUCAUUUUGUUGCCAAAUGUUUCUAUUAUUUGGGGACCAUUGUUGAUAUGUAUAAAAAUUGUUUUCCAAGGAUUUCUUUAGUUCACAGAAACCGCCUUUAAAUUGUUUUCAAUAGUGUUCGUCAAAUGAUGUUUGGAAACAUACACACAUGAUGAUAAUUUGUCAUAAUUCCGAACAGAUUUAUUCCGUCUUAAACCGCUUCA